AGGAUGCUGACCAUUACAAGGUAUAAAUAAUCUCUUCUCUAUUGCUUUACACUGUCUUGGCUUGCACAUUCUUUGAUUUUCUGUCCCCUAUGGUCCGUGUUUCUGUUCUGCCUGCUGUUUCAAUAUAUGAUUGUUUUAGCCUGCACAUAUUUGAUUUUAUUUUGUUUUGAACUGGGGUUGUGCAUUAAUUUGGGAUCAAAGAUUCAUUACAAUCACGCUAGUCAGUCCCCGGCACGCAGGUUGGGAUUGCGCCAUGCAUAACACCCGCACACAACUCCCUCGACCUUGCUGGGCAAGGUCAUGAGCAACACAAUUGCCCAAUAUUUUAAUUUGGCUUAUCUUGAGUUUUUAGAAAUUCUGAAGGAUCAGUCUUGCAUCUCUGCAUAUAGAACUGAUGUAUGAUCUACUUAUCCAAUCUCAUUAAGCUCCUCCACGAAGUCACUCUCAGUAUGGAUAGGUCCAUUCUUAAUCAGAUGUGCUUUACGAAUCCCUUCUAAGCACGCCACGGCUUCAGUAGUUUCUGCACGUGCACAAUUCAUCAGAGCUACUUUGUGAUUCUCUUUAUCCGACUGGAAUUUUCCAAUUUUCAUGCGCCCUUCCCAGACAUGCCAGUCCAAAGUAUUUUUCAUCUAGUCCUAUUUGAUUUUCUGUUCUGCUAUGGCCCAUGUUUUUGUUCUGCCUGCUGUUUUUGUUAGUUAUGUCCAGACCUUGUAAAAUUCAUGCUCUUAGCCUGCACAGUUUUUACUUCGAUAUAUUUGAGUUUCCUUUCUUCUAUGGCUACUUUUUGUCUCAUAUUUUGUCCCAAACAUUUUCAGAACCGUGCGUCUUCGUAUAGCCGCUGUUCGGAUCUCAAGCUCUUUGAACCUCUUGAAACAAUAGUUGGCCGCUCAUCGACCACUCCCAACAGUUCGAGGGCCCCAAUUCUGCGGAUCGAACCGGUCACCCCAAGUGAUGCCAAGGUGCGUCCUUUUGCUCGACUGUAAAUCACUUUUCCUUGAAAGUUUCUUAUUGCCAUUUCGUGCAAAUUAUAGGCUGUGCGGGACUGUUUCCCCCUCUGGAUGCGUGAAGAAGUUGGCUCAGUAGUUUGUGUCCAGGGGGUUGAUAUGACUUUU
Molecule: long non-coding RNA, 1112 nt
Filed under: Triticum aestivum (bread wheat)
Lineage: Eukaryota; Viridiplantae; Streptophyta; Magnoliopsida; Poales; Poaceae
Description: long non-coding RNA (TAES_LNC004087)
Source: RNAcentral